AGUCUACAGUGUGUCCAAAGUAAUCGAGGAUAGCUUUUGGAAGAGGCGCAACUUCGCCUAUUUCUCAUUUUUUUCUCCACGGAGAAAAAAAAUAUUCUCGGCUGUUCCCUUGGGAUGUAAUUGCGUUCCCAGGCAAGUUCAAUGGCUCUGUAAGACUCAGAGCAUAGCAAGCCAUUCAUGGCUGGGACAAAAACCCACUUAUUUUAUUAUGUAGACAAGACUAUCAUUGUAUCUUUAGAAACAAAUUUAAAUCAAGUACAAUUACAUGUAGAUAAAUAUAUUGAUUGUUAAACUCAAAAAUGGCACCAUUAUUCAGGAGUCAAUAGGGUGCUACAGUAGUUAUAGCAACAGUAGUUAAAGGGACUCUGCAAGACUGCAAACAUGAAGCAUCUGUACCCCCAAGUUAUAGACUGCUCUGCUACUACUUAUUUUAGUUAUACCUCCAAAUGUGUCUAUAUAACAUCCUCCUUUAAAACACUUGACAUCCUAUAUUUUGGCAUGACAUGAUUUUUCACCUCUAAAGAUUGAUAGUUGUACUGUAAGUGUUAGUGGUUUUGUUUAAUGGGGUUGUAAAGGGAAGGUCUUUCUUUGUGAAAUAGCCUAUUUGUGUUGAUCUAAACUUUCCUUCUGUCUGAGGGGUCUCUGGCUCAGCUCAGCUCACAGGACCGUUCCCAUGGAGAUGAUAGGAUCACUUCCUGUCUCAGAACAGGCCAGGUCAUGGAGUUUGCUGGACCGGGAGUCCCUUCGGCUCCUCCCCCUUCUUCUCAGAGCAAGCAGGCCCAUUGCCCUAGCGAUUCCACACAGACACAGCGUGUACACAUGCUGCUCCAGAGCCAGUACUGUUCUUCCUUCCGACAAGUACGCCUCUCAACUUUGUUAAUUUACACAAUGUCCUUUGUUCACAUUUGCUUAUAAAUGUUCUAAACUCACCAAAAAUUAUAUUUGGUAGCUCCUACCUAUAUAUGUAUAACUUUGAGUUGGAUUGCCUCUGCGCACGUUAAACAUAUUUAGCUAGCAGCCUCAAUGGAAAUUCGCUAUUAUUUGUGCUAAUUUUGUUAGCAUUCUGGUAAUAGACACCGAAUGGGCUUUUUUUUUUGCGUUUUUUGGCCGGUAAUACCAUAAAACCUGGAAUGAGAGGACGGUAUGACAAUAUGAGAAAAUCUGGAUACUGCCCAACCAUAGUGGAAACCCUCGCUGGCGCUGCCCUUGCUAAAAUGCUUUUGGCCACUAGAGGCCUCUAUCAUUCUCUGCUUGCAGAUCACACAUUGCAUCGGAAGUACCAUAGAAUUACUGCCUUAUAUAUUAUCCAGAAUGACUAUAGGCCUGAUUCCACAUUGAACACUGCUUCUCUUCCCUUGAUGACUCACUCUUGCAGGUCUUAAAAGACUGCAGAGGUGUUGGCAUGGUGAUAGUUCCAGCUAUUCAAAUAGGGUGAAGUUGAGCGUUUCUGUGUUAGUGUGUGCUUUUAAUAACAGUAAAUAUGUGUCAUUUGUUUGAUCUAACAAUUGUUUUCUAUUGGUGCAAAUGUUCAAUGUAUUUUGAAUAUGAUGAAUAAAGGUUAUUCUUCACCACAA
Long non-coding RNA from Oncorhynchus keta (chum salmon), 1574 nucleotides. RefSeq lists it as uncharacterized. The transcript has 2 exons. NCBI's taxonomy places the organism in Eukaryota, Metazoa, Chordata, Actinopteri, Salmoniformes, Salmonidae. The record is from RefSeq and is a predicted model, not a curated record.